This 960-nucleotide non-coding RNA is filed under the name Rhacodactylus willihenkeli. RNAcentral describes it as "Rhacodactylus sp. KGeiss-2023a 12S ribosomal RNA". It matches the Rfam family "Bacterial small subunit ribosomal RNA". Lineage: Eukaryota; Metazoa; Chordata; Lepidosauria; Squamata; Diplodactylidae. The record is from RNAcentral.
AACAGUUUUGGUCCUAAACUUACUAUUAUUUUUUAUCAAAAUUAUACAUGCAAGUCUCAGCACCCCAGUGCCGACGCCCAACACCACGGAGCAGGUAUCAGGCACACACCAACGUAGCCAAAAACACCUAGCUAUGCCACACCCUCACGGGGCCCAGCAGUAAUAGACAUUAAGCAAUGAGCGCCCAUUAAUCAUCUUAUAUUCAAGCUCGACUUAGUUAUGAUUCAAUUAAGGCCGGUAAAUUUCGUGCCAGCCACCGCGGUUAUACGAAAGACCCAAAACAAUAGUAUACGGCGUAAAACGUGACUAGAGCUUAAAGUAUAAAAUGAGAUAUAAACCCCGGCUAAGUUAUAAAACACAAAAAGCACGCUGGAUAACCUACCAAAUCUCAGUCAAUACCACCCCUUGACCUCACGAAAACCAAGAAACAAACUAGGAUUAGAUACCCUACUAUGCUUGGCCGUAAACCCAGACAUUACACACUACACAAUGUCCGCCAGAGUACUACAAGUGAAAAACUAGAAACUCAAAGGACUUGACGGUGCCCCACAUCAACCUAGAGGAGCCUGUCCUAUAAUCGAUACCCCACGAAAAACCUCACCCCUUCUGGCAAAACAGCCUAUAUACCGCCGUCGCCAGCCUACCUUAUGAAAGACACCAAAUAGGCAAAAUGUAAAACCCACAAAACGUCAGGUCAAGGUGUAGCAUAUGAAGAGGAAAGAGAUGGGCUACAUUUUCUAAAAAGAAAACACUAACAACAUCCUGAAACAAGCGUAAAACGGUGGAUUUAGCAGUAAGACGAGUUAGACAGCUCAACUGAAAACAUGCUCUGGGACGCGUACACACCGCCCGUCACCCUCAUCAACCAAAACAACUAAACAAUUUAUAAAGCCCCCCAUCUAAUACAGAUGAGGCAAGUCGUAACAUGGUAAGUGUACUGGAAAGUGCACUUGGACUACA